UUGGCUGGUAUAGGCGUCUGAACCGAACCCGAUCCCAUCUCGAACUCGGCCGGUAAAUCAGACAGCGCCGAUGGUACUAACGCUGAAGCGUUGGAAGAGUAGGUCGUUGUCCAAG
RNAcentral lists this ribosomal RNA (115 nucleotides) under Erythromicrobium ezovicum. Lineage: Bacteria; Pseudomonadati; Pseudomonadota; Alphaproteobacteria; Sphingomonadales; Erythrobacteraceae. The record is from RNAcentral.